UGUACCAUACACACACAAUCUCCACUCACCCAACUACAGUUUUUACAGCACACCCAUCUCCCAUCCCUCUUAUGUCAACAACAUGGUAACUAGGUAAAAGUAAGUCCAUCAUAUUCUUCUCCAGGAAGGAAACUUUGGCAUACUAGUUCAUCCGUAGGGACAUUCCAGAGGUCCAAGAUCUCCAUACCGUUGCUCGGGGAAUAUGGCAGAUCAUACAAUUCGUCGCUAUGCCCAUCUAUAAACGGACAACCAUCAUAAAGCGGGCUUUGCUCUUCGUGCAUCUGGUCCUGCUGAGGGAUAAUAGGCCCAUUACUGUCUGGCAUGCUGGAAAUCAAUAUCUCAUUCUGAUUUUGGGUUUCGAUCGUUACUUCCCCAGAUGCCUGGAGGAGAAAAGGGGGAAAAAGAACAUAUAAAAGCUUUAGCUUAGAUAGGCAUAUUGGUAGUCAUAUUGCUUUAUGUCAACCCACAGCAAUUUUUCGUUACCUCUGUACUAACUUCGUCGGAUCGUCCAUUUCCAGAGUCAUUAGGAGUACUACUGGUGCUUGAACUGGCCGAAGCACACACUUUUGCUGACCUCGCUUUCUUGCAUUUCCUGUCGAUUAUGUGACAGAGAACAAAGGCCAUCUGCAAAGAUGAGAGGAUGUGGAUCAGAGUUCCAUAAACGGAGACCUUUAUAACCAUACACACAUGAAAUUUUCUAAGAUGGAUGACAAAUUGCCGAUUAAAGUGAAGCUAUUCUUAAUAUUCUAAACCAUAUUCAGCCUUACCUGCACUGGUAAACACGUUACAGAUGCUCAGUUACAGGAUUUAACAGAGGGAAAAAUGGAGUACCGGGCCGGAGAUUUUACUGUCAGAGACACUUGAGUUUAGGUGGUAUUCGUGCAUGACGACAUCAGUCUUGCGGCCUUUUGGUUGUCGGCCUUCAUAAUAAACCAAAAUCUUCCUGAUUCCUAUUUGUUUGCCAGUGACCAGGGAUCGUAUAACGCGUUUCUUACAGGUAUCUUUCCAAUAUCCCAAUUCUGUCAUCCUGUUAUUCGAACGACGAUUAUUUGGAAUUUUGUCCCCGCAAGGACAGAAGAAGAAGCACUCCCGUCCGUCUGACGGUAUGGCCGAUAAUUCUACAAACGAAGAACAGUUGAAUAAAUGGAUUGAGUAAACAUGGGAAAUUGGAAAUAUAGAGAAGACUAGAAGGACUAGCACUCCACUGUGCAGUUACCAUUGUAUGAAAUGAACAAAUCCGGAGGCUCGCAACUGUAGAUGUAUAGCUCUGGGAUAAGGCAGAAUGCUUCCAGUUUUCCCUUGAGCUUCCCUCUAAGGUGAUGAUCGACGAGUUCAUCCUCGGUCGGUUCAAAUCUGAGUCCCACCGGCCACGUUGCCAUUCGAUCUGAUGAUGCCUAUCAGUCUCGACUUCAACGUGCAAUAGACCAAGAGAAGAUCAGUGCAGACAAAUUGCAAGAGCAGGGGAAAAAACGGAGGAAACGGAGUUCACUAUUUGCUUUGCGUUUCUUGGGACUUUAGAGUGUGACUCCAAACCAAUCCAAGUGGGUCGACUUUAUAGGACAAAAAAGCAAUCACUUUUCUUCGCCCUUGCUUCAGAAGGGAUUGCACUGUUCAGUGGGAUCCCACUUCAAGCUGAAGACAGAUGCUUAUGCUGACGAUAGCAUCCAUUACCUAUAUUUACUUUGUCGGGUACAAUUCUGUAAAAUGGAUAAUACCACGUAAAAAAAAUCUCAAAACAUUAUAUUAUGUCAUAUUUACCACAAAUCAAUUUUUGUGUAACAAAAAAUCCGAAACUAGUAUAACGAUGCUACACUCAUCCCAAACUAAUUUUCAUCACAAGAAAUGCUAAAUCACCUAAAUCUUAGAUUGGAAAAGCCCUAAUUUUAGUGAUUUGGGAUUUUCUCUAAUAUAAAAAUUAGCAUCGAAUUAAUGAGAUACGGGUGUACCAAUUUGAAAUAUUUUAUGACAUGAAAAUUAAUUUUGUGUAAAAUGUAACAUAAUUUAUCAAUUUUUAGUGAUAUUAAUCAUUUAACGAAUAUUAUGGCCCUAAAGUGGCCUCAUCACCAGCUAUAUACAUUGCAUAUCAACUGCUACAGUCAUCAAUGGCCACUCUAGAAUUUCAUGCGACAGGCCGAUGAUGAUUGGGAGUUGCAAGUGGGUCCCAAUCAAGUAGACUUUAGUCUUUUUUAUGUCGUGUACACUGAGCAUUGAUGAUAGCAAACCGCUGUUGAUACCCCCAAAAGAUAUAACUCCUGCGAAAGGUCUAAAAUUUGGGGAAAUGACAUGAUAGGGCCUGAUCUUUCUAUAAAUGCUCAAUAUCAUCCUCGACUUUAUUUUUGGUUUAAUGAGGGUAAUUCUGCAAAUUCCACAUGUUCUAAUGCACACCCAUUUUUUAGUGUACAAGUUAUCCUUUUAUGGUAUUUGAUGUCUUUAGCAAAAGGAUGCGACCCAUUAUCGAAGAGGUUGAUCUCAAGAGCAGAUCUUAGAUAUCAAGGUUCGUGUAGCUAGGAAAAAGCAUUUAACAUAGUUAGUGUCACUUCCUAAUUUCCAUUAAGAAAGGAAUGAUACGGCUGUCAUCUUACUCAAAGGACGCAACCUAAAACAAAAACAACACAAACCUGCUAGCACAAUAUGUAUGACAAAAUAAGGAAUUGGUUAUGGAAUCAAAGUUUCUAAAAUCCAUCAAAGAAAACAUGUACAACUGCGAAAUCAACUAAACCCAACAACUAUCAUUAGACGUCCAUGACUCAUUUUCAAUAGUGUCCAAAAUCCAAUCACCAAAAUUCCCAUUGAUAUCAUUCUUAUAAUAGUUGUUGCUAAUUGGAAAAUCUGAAAAUCCUUAAAAAGAAUGAGUGGGUAACUAUAGCUCAGUGAGCAGUGUAUAUACCUUCUAAACAAAUUGAGAAUCCACUAUACAUAUCAUAAAUACUCAUUAAAUUAGUAAUAUCAAAGUAAAUAUCAACAAUCCAAUCCAUUGAUCGAUUUCAACAAUUUAUUUAUCAAUGUUCUAUUCCAUUAAUUAUCUCAUUAAAUCACAUGUCCAUUUCAUAGACCAAUCUAUUGUUUAAUAUCUAACUAUAGUCAUGCUUAACACCCAUAACAAAAGCAACUAAGUUUACCCCUAUUGACUAGGUCUACCACCUAUAUUAGUCGGUGGCUCAACGUAGGAGGACAUCUUGAGAACAAUAUGCAUACUCGGCCUUCAAUGGGUUCUAAUCAUAGCAACAUGAGCAUGAACCUCAUUCUCUAAUAUUCUCAAAACCAAAACCAUAGUUUAUCUUAUAAAUCGAUUUCACAAAUCAAACCAUAUCGCCUUUCACAACUCAAUUUAUCAAAUAGAAUGCAUUUUGUAAAUCAUUUCACAAAUCAAUACAUAUAAUCUUUCAUAAACCAUACUCAAAGUUAGCUCCUCCUAAUUAUUUCACAAAAUAGUUUCACAAACCCAAAAUAUAUAAUUUUUUUGAACUCGGUUCAUCAAAUAAUAUAUAUGUUUCACAAGACAUUUCUCACAUAAUUCUGAAAAGCAUUUCUUAAACUAGUAAUAUUUUGAAAUGCCUUUCAUAAAAUGUUUCUCGAAUGAUUCACAAAUAACUGCAAAGUAGUAAAUGCCCAAUCUAGAUCUUUUACAACAAACAUGCUCUUUCAAAACUCAUAAUAUAUCGAAUCCCUAUCACUUUCAAGAUAUAAGUUUAUAAACUCACAAAAGAGAUUGUGACACUUACUUGGAAACGCCUAAAAUCAAACUAUGAAGGUUACUUGAACUAUCAAACUUGUAAUGUUAUCAAAUAUAUAUGGAACAACAUCAAAAUUGAGUAAAAUGCUACAUCAAUUAUGAGCUGCUAAACCAAUCUUUUUUUAUUUUUUUUCCUGAAAGCUAAACUAAGCUUACUUGGUAACUAAAAGAUUCUUAGGUGCCUACCAAAAUCCUUGCUCGAAGAGGAUAAUCAAAGUUAUGUGCAAUGCAAAACUUGAGCACGAAACUUCGAAAAUUCGUUCCGAUCAAAUUAAAAUCCAAGCUUGUUCCGCCCGAUUUCUGGAUUGAGCUCAACUCGGUGCUCCCCUAACACUUAAGCUGUUGAUGAGAUUUGAUAUCUAGUUUGGGCCUGAAAAUUUUACUCACCGAUCGCGGUUUAGCUCACAAUUUCCCAAUCCCCCUUUCUUUUGUCGUCCUCUUUCUCCCUCUUCUUCGUUCCUUUUGUCUUCUUUUUUAUGGUCUGUUCGUUCCUUUUAUGUCGCACGCAGUGAAACCUAACACCUCAAAUCCAGUCACAACCCAACCGCGAUGGCCAAGGGAUUGCUUCCAGCAGUGUUGAGGUGGUAUGAGGAUUAGUUGUCGGUCGCAGUGAAGGUUGGUUCCGUUUGGCAUCGUGGUCAGUGGUGGCUAUGAAUUCUUGAUGGUGGUUCCAAGGUCAGUCGUAGCGGCAUCAUGGAUUGUGGACUGUAGCAGACGAUGAUGGAACGUGAAACAAUGCGAGUGGCUGCGAAAGAAGAAAAAUCUAUGGUGGCAGCAAUUUGUUUCGUUAAAUUAGAAAAGAAGAUGGUGAUGAUGGCAUGUGAGUAUGUUGGUUCAAUGAUGUGCAGUGGCUGCGACGGUGAUGCUGCAGCGUGUUCAAUUUUACAGAGAAGAUAGACGAUGGUGAACGAUGGUGUGCCGCGGGAGAAGCCAUAGCGCUUCAGCUUGCUCAGGGUGUUGACAAUUGCAUAGGUACAAUUUGAUCUGCAAUUGGUGUGCACAGCUGAGAUGCAGAAUGCAUCCCCUACCACAAGUGAAGUACAAGAUAAAAAAAAUGCUUCAGACAUAUUUGGAUUUGCAAACGGUAAGGCUUCGAAUGCAACGACAGACGUACAGGAUUGAGAACACUGUCAGAAGAAUCUUUACGGUUUGGCAUUUCAGUUGCGAGAUCGGUGAAAAUUUUCAUCAAGAGUGGAAACUGGAGGCUAUAACCUGUCUUACUAGACAAGUCACGCAGUUUAGAUGGAGGGGAUGCAGCUUAAAUUGGAUGAGUCUCGGAUCAUCCACUCAUUAGACAGAAAAGACAAGGUAAUAAACAAGUCAUUUGCAACCAGCACAAAAUGGUUUUCCUUCACUCACACUGCAACCAGUACAAAACAUAAUACUGAUGUGUCCAUACUUUCACAACCUGACUGUUAUAAGCAGCACUACAUAGUUUGUACCAUACACACACAAUCUCCACUCGCCCAACUACAGAUUUUACAGCACACCCAUCUCCCAUCCCUCUUAUGUCAACAUGGUAACUAGGGAAAAGUAAGUCCUUCAUAUUCUUCUCCAGGAAGGAAACUUUGGCAUACUAGUUCAUCCGUAGGGACAUUCCAGAGGUCCAAGAUCUCCAUACCGUUGCUCGGGGAAUAUAGCAGAUCAUACAAUUCGUCACUACGCCCAUCUAUAAACGGACAACCAUCAUAAAGAGGGCUUUGCUCUUCGUGCAUAUGGUCCUGCUGAGGGAUAAUUGGCCCAUUAUCGU
Molecule: long non-coding RNA, 5483 nt
Filed under: Eucalyptus grandis
Lineage: Eukaryota; Viridiplantae; Streptophyta; Magnoliopsida; Myrtales; Myrtaceae
Description: long non-coding RNA (EGRA_LNC007218)
Source: RNAcentral